This 375-nucleotide ribosomal RNA is filed under the name Triticum aestivum (bread wheat). RNAcentral describes it as "partial small subunit ribosomal RNA". The record is from RNAcentral. Lineage: Eukaryota; Viridiplantae; Streptophyta; Magnoliopsida; Poales; Poaceae.
AUGGUUUUCUACUUUCUAUCAUGUCAUGGAUAUCAUGCGCUGCUUGUCCUUGGGAAGGAUAUACCCUCGAAAUAUGUGUGUAUACACAUUUUCCCUUCCAUUGUUCUGUUUAAACCUGAUAACCCCUUUUCCUUUCCAUUGGUUUGUUUAAACCUUCUUGUGAUCUAUAUUAUAAAAGCAGUAAUAUUUCCCUGCUUAUGUAAACACCUCGUUGUACAAUUCUGUCAGCAAGACCCUGUUACUAUUGUUGAUGAUAUUCUGGUAACCACUGAUGGACGAGAACUUUGCCUAUUGGUCCGCCUCGUUUCGACGGGCAGGAAAAUUGUUCUCUUCGUCCCUCGCCCUUGGUAUCGAUGUUGUUGCCGACAUAAAUGA